Molecule: long non-coding RNA, 974 nt
Organism: Ahaetulla prasina
Lineage: Eukaryota; Metazoa; Chordata; Lepidosauria; Squamata; Colubridae
Exons: 2
Source: RefSeq, a predicted model, not a curated record
GCUGGGCUGGACAAGUGCAAGGCACUUGGCGCUGGGGAUGGUCCCUGGUGGGGAGGCCGUUGCUGGGAGGGGCAUUUUCCUUUUUUUGAAAAUCACAGAUCAGGAGGCAUUAAAAGCAAAAACCUUCGUCCCCUUGUUCCAGAUGUGGGAACCGAAAGAGAAGCUGUUGGGUGGAGAUAUGAUCAAUUUAGCAGCCAGGGAUUAGUGGGCAUCUUCAGGCCUCAUUCUUCAAGAUCUCCCUGCCUAAUAUGCUGUUUCUCCAGUGAUCUGAAGUCUGCUGAGGUUCCAUCCACACAACUCCAGCUCUGUUUUUGUACACUGGGUGGGCUUCCUGCAGUCCCGGACGGGGGAUUGACCGGGAGUGCGCCGGGUGCACACUGAACUGGAAAAACAAUAUUUUUUUCCAACGUUACCACCAUCUCUCCCCAUUUCAACUUAUUUUCCUUGACAGGAAGAAACAUUAGGGACCUUAGACGGUUGCAAUAAAUUUGCAUUCUUCCUGUCCCUCUGCACGUUUUUCUGCAUUUCUUUUCAAAAUGCUUUUUUCUUCUCAGGCCAAAACUUAGAUGGAAGAUGAAGAGGGGGCGAGUGGGAGCUUUCUAAAGAAAACAUUUCCGGCAAUAAAGACCCUAAGUUCUCUCUCCAUACAUCCCCCCACCCAAAAGGGCCAUCUGGACUAUCAGAUCCAGGGUCUGUCCCUUCCUUGUUUUCCCUUCCCCCCAAAAAAAACCUCCACCCACCUUUCAGAAUCUUCAGAGAAGAUUCUCAACCUUCAGAGAAUCCUUGGAGCAGCUGAGUUGGGAUACUUGCAGAAUCCUUCCAGGGAGAGCUCUUUGAGACCCACUCCCAAAGUUUCCAGCUGACCAACACGACUUGGAAGGAGCGGUGUCAGAUGUCCCACCUUCUCAAGCCUUGCCUGAAAUGGCAGCCUUUUCCUGAAAAAAAAAAAAAAUAGAAAUAAAAAUUGGAUUGCA